UACGGGGGGGGCAAGCGUUGUUCGGAAUUACUGGGCGUAAAGGGCUCGUAGGUGGCCAACUAAGUCAGACGUGAAAUCCCUCGGCUUAACCGGGGAACUGCGUCUGAUACUGGAUGGCUUGAGUUUGGGAGAGGGACGCGGAAUUCCAGGUGUAGCGGUGAAAUGCGUAGAUAUCUGGAGGAACACCGGUGGCGAAGGCGGCGUCCUGGACCAACACUGACACUGAGGAGCGAAAGCCAGGGGAGCAAAGCGGG
This 254-nucleotide ribosomal RNA is filed under the name uncultured bacterium. Its description in RNAcentral is "partial 16S ribosomal RNA". It matches the Rfam family "Bacterial small subunit ribosomal RNA", at positions 524 to 777 of the family's 1533-position model. The record is from RNAcentral.